This 119-nucleotide ribosomal RNA is filed under the name uncultured bacterium. RNAcentral describes it as "partial 16S ribosomal RNA". It matches the Rfam family "Bacterial small subunit ribosomal RNA", at positions 1367 to 1482 of the family's 1533-position model. The record is from RNAcentral.
UACGUUCCCGGGCCUUGUACACACCGCCCGUCAAGUCACGAAAGUCGGUAACACCCGAAGCCGGUGGCCCAACCCCUUGUGGGAGGGAGCCGUCGAAGGUGGGACUGGCGAUUGGGACU